AUUGAACGCUGGCGGCAGGCCUAACACAUGCAAGUCGAGCGGAUGAAGGGAGCUUGCUCCUGGAUUCAGCGGCGGACGGGUGAGUAAUGCCUAGGAAUCUGCCUGGUAGUGGGGGAUAACGUCCGGAAACGGGCGCUAAUACCGCAUACGUCCUGAGGGAGAAAGUGGGGGAUCUUCGGACCUCACGCUAUCAGAUGAGCCUAGGCCGGAUUAGCUAGUUGGUGGGGUAAAGGCCUACCAAGGGGACGAUCCGUAACUGGUCUGAGAGGAUGAUCAGUCACACGGGAACUGAGACACGGUCCAGACUCCUACGGGAGGCAGCAGUGGGGAAUAUUGGACAAUGGGCGAAAGCCUGAUCCAGCCAUGCCGAGUGUGUGACGAAGGUGUUCGGAUUGUAAAGCACUUUAAGUUGGGAGGAAGGGCAGUAAGUUAAUACCUUGCUGUUUUGACGUUACCAACAGAAUAAGCACCGGCUAACUUCGUG
Molecule: ribosomal RNA, 484 nt
Filed under: uncultured bacterium
Lineage: Bacteria
Description: partial 16S ribosomal RNA
Rfam family: Bacterial small subunit ribosomal RNA
Source: RNAcentral